GCCUCCGUAGCUCAAUGGAUAGAGCUAUCCCGUCCUAAGGGAGAAAUGACAGUUCGAUUCUGCCCGGGGGCACAA
This 75-nucleotide transfer RNA is filed under the name Candidatus Kuenenbacteria bacterium CG_4_10_14_3_um_filter_39_14. RNAcentral's name for it is "tRNA-Arg". It matches the Rfam family "tRNA". From Rfam's summary of the family: Transfer RNA (tRNA) molecules are approximately 80 nucleotides in length. Their secondary structure includes four short double-helical elements and three loops (D, anti-codon, and T loops). Lineage: Bacteria; Candidatus Kueneniibacteriota. The record is from RNAcentral.